UAAGAUGUUCUGGCCACAAUCCGU
Molecule: non-coding RNA, 24 nt
Filed under: Arabidopsis thaliana (thale cress)
Lineage: Eukaryota; Viridiplantae; Streptophyta; Magnoliopsida; Brassicales; Brassicaceae
Source: RNAcentral